This 85-nucleotide transfer RNA is filed under the name Bathymodiolus platifrons methanotrophic gill symbiont. RNAcentral's name for it is "tRNA-Leu". It matches the Rfam family "tRNA". Rfam says of the family: Transfer RNA (tRNA) molecules are approximately 80 nucleotides in length. Their secondary structure includes four short double-helical elements and three loops (D, anti-codon, and T loops). The record is from RNAcentral. RNAcentral also lists the same sequence under 19 other names. Lineage: Bacteria; Pseudomonadati; Pseudomonadota; Gammaproteobacteria.
GCCGGGGUGGUGAAACUGGUAGACACGCCGGAUUCAAAAUCCGGUUUCUUCGGAAGUGCCGGUUCGAUUCCGGCCCUCGGUACCA